ACAGUUGGCUUCUAAUAAAAAGAAUAAUGUUUUAUUUACAAUAGUAAUGUAUUAGAUAUGUAAAUAUAUUAUUUCAUCAUUAUUAUGAUGGUAAGUAUAUAAAGAAACUAUUACGGAUAAAUAAGCUAUAUAUUAAAGACGUAUAAAAAGUGUUCUUGGAAAAAUCCAUUUUGUAAACGGAGCGAAUUGAAAUAUCUUAGUAGCUUCAGGAAUAAAAAUCAAAUGAGAUUCCGUAAUUAGCUAUAACUGUUAUGGAAAAGCCUUUAAAGUAAAACGGAAAUAAUCUGUUUGAAUUUAGGGAAACCUUUCUCUAAGGCUAAAUAUGAUAUAUAAGCGAUAGUGAAGCAGUACCGUGAGGGAAAUUUUUGAAAUAGUAGUUUUAUAAGCAGCUCAAGUUUAAUUUAAAAGUAUAAUGAGAGCGUACCUUUUGCAUAAUGGGUCAGCAAGUUAAUAUUAGAUGCGAGAAAAAGAGUACAGAAAAGAUUAGGAAGUAAAACUUAAUAUAUUUUUAGUUUAAUGCUAAAAAUUAAAAAGAGAAUGAAAACGAAAUGAGUAAGGUAAUUAACUCUUAUUCCUAGAUAAACCGAUUAUUAAUUAAUGAUUAAGUAUCUAAUAUUAGACCCGAAGCCUAGUGAUCUUACCAUGAUCAGGGUUAUAAAGGCCUGAACGGGUUAUCGUUGUAAAGAUAUCCGAUGAAUUGUGGUAAGUUAGUGAAAGACAAAACUGACUAGGAUAGCUGGUUUUCUGCGAAACCUAUAUAAGUAGGUAAUGUGAAUUACAUCAUAGCAGGUACAGAACUGUGAUCUCGGACAAGGUAUGUUGUUUUCUUAGCGCUUUGCUCGCAAAGCGCUAAGGAUGAUGGCAUGGUUUUUGUAUACAUCGGGGAAUCCCGAAGAUUUUAUCGGCGAGAAUUUGCUCUCGAAAGGGCAAUGAUGGAUUUUGCAUAAUCGGACAUAGUACGAUAAGGUUGUAUGUCUAAAGGGAAACAGCCCAGAACAAGAGUUAAAGGUUCCAAAAUUAUUGUUAAGUGAAAAUAAGGAAGUUUUCUUCAAAUACAACCAGGAAAUAGGCUUAGAAGCGGCCAUUUUUUGAAGACCUCGUAACAGAGCACUGGUUUAACAUUAAAAGUUGAAAGCACCGAAAAUUUAACGGAUCUAAAACAAUAUACCGAAACCUUGUCUAUAAAUAAACCUAUUUUAAGAUUUAUACCAAAUUAUUAUCUUAAGUAUUUUUAUUUAUGGGGUAGCAGAACGUUGGGCAUGUCUUAGACUUAAUGUUUUUAAUAUUAAGUAGGUUAACUCGAUUGUUUAUUAUCUAAACCAAGUAGGUUAAGCACUUAUUUGUUAGGGGUGGUAUAAUGACUUGUUAACAAGAUGACCCCAAGUGAGAAUGCUGGCAUGAGUAACGAAAAAGGGAUAGCCCCUCGCCUUAAGCUUAUGGUAUUUAAAUAAAGUAACGGCCUCUAAGUUUUGUCCUAAAGGAUUAAACGAUGAGAAAAAUCUUCAGGUAUGUCUAACAACAUUGAAAAUUUAAAGACUAGCUUCGUGUAAAAAAAAAAUCAGCACGUUGUGAUGUGUGAGUAAACAGUGUUCUGGAAAAAGGCGACCAAUAUUUAUGAUCGUAACAAUCAACGGUCAGGUCUAACAAAGAUAUAAAUAGUAAAUAACCGUACCUAGAUACUACCACAAGUAAGCAAGUAGAGUAUACAAAGGCGUUUGAGUUAACAAUCAUUAAGGAACUCGGCAAAAUGACACCGUAACUUAGGGAUAAGGUGUGCCAUCCUUAUCGAUGAAUAUAAGAUAAGGAGAGGAGACAUAAAAUGGCGUUGUACGACUGUUUAAUUAAAACAAAGCACUUUGCAUAAGAUGACAAAUCAAAGUAUUGAGUGUGAAUUCUGCCCGAUGUUGGCUGGUUAACGGAUUUUCUUAGCUGACUAAAAUAAGCUAGGUUUUGAAGGAAACCCCAAUCAAUGGCGGCCUUAUCGAUGAGGGUCCUAAGGUAGCGGAAUACCUUGGCCGUUAAAUGCGGUCUUGCAUGAAUGAUUUAACGAUACAACAGCUGUCUCAAUGAUUGGCUCAGUGAAAUUGGAAUAACUGUGCAGAUACAGUUUACCUCUAGUUAGACGAGAAGACCCUAUGCAGCUUUACUGUUUGUAGUUAUUGAAUACAAUGGGACAAGUAGUAGCGUAUAAGGUAGUUGAAAAGAUACAAUUGAAACACCUUUACUUAGUUUAUUGUAUUAGUAGCCAACUAGGAAGAGUGGAAGGUAAGUAUUGUUAAGACGCAUAAUCGUAUAAUUGUUAAGACGCAUUAUCGCAGAAUCGUUAAGACGUAUUAUCGCAGAAUCGUUUAAGAUUUAAGUGGAAGGGGUUUUGUAGUAUUAUAUAGUGGUUGGAUAAAAAAAAGAAACUUGGUAAUCCACUAUCACCUUACUAUAGACAUAUUACAUGCUUUUUCAAAUACACAAAACACUUAGGUUGUAUAUGAGGAUAGCAUUAUGUUGAGGCAAUACUUGCUCUGGAAUUAAUAGUAAGCAGAAAAACUACAAAGCUUAUCCUAUAAAAGAUAUUAAACGCACCACAAAAGGAUGCGUUUUAUAUUUGGAAACAUUUGCUAUUAGACAGUUUAUGCGGGGCACAGAUCCCACAAAAAGUACCUGGGUGUAUCCAAAGUUAAUUUUGUAAAUUUAUUGGCAAUAAAAUUUGUCAAUAUAUAAAUAUAUUAUAUAGCAAAAGCUUUUGCUUUUACUUGUAUAAUGUAUUUUUUUAUUUUAAUCUGUAAUGUAUUGCUAUCAAUAUAUUCAGUUAUUUAUCUAUUAAGUUAGAUUUAUUUAUUUUUUUUAAGUAAGAUUUUACCUAUAUGGAAAAUAGUAGUAAAUAAAACCCUAACAAUAGUAGGGUUUUAAUUUGUUUUCUUAAUAUGCUAACCCUUUUGGAAGGUAUUAAGAAAAUGAUUAUUAUUUUACUUUAAAAGUUUAAUGGCUUAAUCUUGCUUUACUGUUUGACUUACACGUCUAUCAGUUGCGUAAGCAGGGCAUAUGAUCACAAGAUGCAUAAAGGAAAGGUCUUGGAUUUUUGAAAAAGCUACGCUAGGGAUAACAGGCUAAUUGCGCCAGAGAGUACAAAUUGAGUGCGCAGUUUGGCACCUCGAUGUCGGCUUAGCUCAUCCACAUGAAUGCAGAAAUCAUGAAGGGUACGACUGUUCGUCGAUUAAAGAGCUACACGAGCUGGGUUAAAUACGUCGUGAGACAGUAUGGUUUCUAUCUUCUAGAGGAAAUUAGAGUAAAAUAAGGAUAUGCCCUUCGUACGAAAGGAGUUGGGUAUGGUAACCUCUGGUUUACCUGUUGUUUAUGAAUUAAUAUAUUCUGUGUUAUUUUUAGCAGUUAUUAUCAGUAAUACUAGAGUAGCUUAUCUGCGAUUUGCGCUUUAGGUUAAAAGUACCACUAAAUAAUCUACAGAUACUCAUGUACAGAUAUAUCAUAGGCACGGCAGGAAACCCACGUUAGUUAUAGAUAAGUGCUGAAAGCAUAUAGGCGCGAAGCAUAUCUUAAGAUACUCUUAAAUAUACGUGGUAGAAUACCACGAGUAUUAGUGUAAGCGCGAAGCGUUAUACAUUAAUACUGUAUAGGCUUUUGCUUUAAGGAUUUUAAUGUCUUCAGGUAAAAAGUACUAAUU
This 3673-nucleotide ribosomal RNA is filed under the name Cladosporium sphaerospermum. Its description in RNAcentral is "large subunit ribosomal RNA". It matches the Rfam family "Bacterial large subunit ribosomal RNA". Lineage: Eukaryota; Fungi; Ascomycota; Dothideomycetes; Cladosporiales; Cladosporiaceae. The record is from RNAcentral.